CAUGCUCUGAGCCGGGGUGUGCUUCCUGCGCGCAGCCGAGCACAUGGCUAAUUAAGCACGUGAAUAUUCAUGAGAUACCCGAGUGACAACAACACGGUGGAUUGUAAUACCUACAGUGUGGAGUUUCAACGUGGUGUCUAACGUUAACAGACGUCUGAGCCAUGAUGUCCAAAAGGAAGUCCAGGAUAAAGCCUGUCGAAGAUGCAAAGUCGUAAAUUCUGUCUUCGAGAGACAAGCCAUGGUUUGCAGAAAGAUUUAUCAACAAUAUCAAAGGAAGAGGAGUGUUUGCUACCCAACCAAUCGAGAAAGGUUCUUUUGUGUUGGAGUACAGGGGGGAAUUCAUAUCAGUGGAAGAAUGCCAAUCAAGGCACUACUCAGAGAUACAGAGUACAUUCCUGUAUGAAUUUGAUUGGCAGAAACGCAAGUGGUGUAUUGAUGCAUCCAAAGAAGAUGGUUCCCUUGGAAGGCUGUAAGCAAGAAGGCUUCUGCUGUGGCAGUAGAAGCAAACACCUUCCCUACAGUGCUGACUUCCCAUGAGGAUUCAAAGGGAGAUUAUGCUGGGGUACAGGUGACAUACAAGCAGACUUCUGCAGUGGAAGAAGAGACCGAUGUUCUUCCUGUUAAUCUGUCUUCCCAUGAUGAGGAUGAGGAUGCUAGC
Molecule: non-coding RNA, 658 nt
Organism: Labrus bergylta (ballan wrasse)
Lineage: Eukaryota; Metazoa; Chordata; Actinopteri; Labriformes; Labridae
Source: RefSeq, a predicted model, not a curated record